UGGGGAAUCUUGGACAAUGGGCGCAAGCCUGAUCCAGCCAUGCCGCGUGAGUGAUGAAGGCCUUAGGGUUGUAAAGCUCUUUUGCCGGGGACGAUAAUGACGGUACCCGGAGAAUAAGUCCCGGCUAACUUCGUGCCAGCAGCCGCGGUAAUACGAAGGGGACUAGCGUUGUUCGGAAUCACUGGGCGUAAAGCGCACGUAGGCGGAUUUGUAAGUCAGGGGUGAAAUCCCGGGGCUCAACCUCGGAACUGCCUUUGAUACUGCGGAUCUCGAGUCCGAUAGAGGUGAGUGGAAUUCCUAGUGUAGAGGUGAAAUUCGUAGAUAUUAGGAAGAACACCGGUGGCGAAGGCGGCUCACUGGAUCGGUACUGACGCUGAGGUGCGAAAGCGUGGGGAGCAAACAGGAUUAGAUACCCUUGUAGUCCCUGAGCGGGCUGGCAAGGCGCAU
This 447-nucleotide ribosomal RNA is filed under the name uncultured bacterium. RNAcentral describes it as "bacterial SSU rRNA". It matches the Rfam family "Bacterial small subunit ribosomal RNA", at positions 355 to 825 of the family's 1533-position model. The record is from RNAcentral.